This 470-nucleotide ribosomal RNA is filed under the name uncultured bacterium. Its description in RNAcentral is "partial 16S ribosomal RNA". It matches the Rfam family "Bacterial small subunit ribosomal RNA", at positions 28 to 507 of the family's 1533-position model. The record is from RNAcentral.
GACGAACGCUGGCGGCGUGCUUAACACAUGCAAGUCGAACGGUGAACGAGGGAGCUUGCUCCCUCCGGAUCAGUGGCGAACGGGUGAGUAACACGUGAGCAAUCUGCCCCGAACUCUGGGAUAAGCGUUGGAAACGACGUCUAAUACCGGAUACGACGCGGGAGGGCAUCCUCUCCGCGUGGAAAGAACUUCGGUUCGGGAUGAGCUCGCGGCCUAUCAGCUUGUUGGUGAGGUAACGGCUCACCAAGGCGACGACGGGUAGCCGGCCUGAGAGGGUGACCGGCCACACUGGGACUGAGACACGGCCCAGACUCCUACGGGAGGCAGCAGUGGGGAAUAUUGCACAAUGGGCGCAAGCCGGAUGCAGCAACGCCGCGUGAGGGACGACGGCCUUCGGGUUGUAAACCUCUUUUAGCAGGGAAGAAGCGAAAGUGACGGUACCUGCAGAAAAAGCACCGGCUAACUACGUG